This 252-nucleotide ribosomal RNA is filed under the name uncultured Bacteroidales bacterium. Its description in RNAcentral is "partial 16S ribosomal RNA". It matches the Rfam family "Bacterial small subunit ribosomal RNA", at positions 524 to 776 of the family's 1533-position model. The record is from RNAcentral. Lineage: Bacteria; Pseudomonadati; Bacteroidota; Bacteroidia; Bacteroidales.
UACGGAGGAUGCGAGCGUUAUCCGGAUUUAUUGGGUUUAAAGGGUGCGUAGGCGGAACAUUAAGUCAGCGGUAAAAUCGAGGGGCUCAACCCCAUCCAGCCGUUGAAACUGGGGAUCUAGAGUGUGCGAGAGGUAUGCGGAAUGCGUGGUGUAGCGGUGAAAUGCUUAGAUAUUGCGCAGAACUCCGAUCGCGAAGGCAGCAUACCGGCGCGCAACUGACGCUCAUGCACGAAAGCGUGGGUAUCGAACAGG